AUUGAACGCUGGCGGAAUGCUUUACACAUGCAAGUCGAGCGGCAGCGCGGCCUUCGGGCUGGCGGCGAGCGGCGAACGGGUGAGUAAUGCAUCGGAACAUGCCCAGACGUGGGGGAUAACACUUCGAAAGAAGUGCUAAUACCGCAUACGUCCUGAGGGGGAAAGCGGGGGAUCGCAAGACCUCGCGCGAUUGGAGUGGCCGAUGUCAGAUUAGCUAGUUGGUGGGGUAAAGGUCUACCAAGGCGACGAUCUGUAGCUGGUCUGAGAGGAUGAUCAGCCACACUGGGACUGAGACACGGCCCAGACUCCUACGGGAGGCAGCAGUGGGGAAUUUUGGACAAUGGGGGCAACCCUGAUCCAGCCAUUCCGCGUGAGUGAAGAAGGCCUUCGGGUUGUAAAGCUCUUUCGGCAGGAACGAAACGGUGGGCUCUAACAUAGUCCGCUAAUGACGGUACCUGAAGAAGAAGCACCGGCUAACUACGUG
This 484-nucleotide ribosomal RNA is filed under the name uncultured bacterium. Its description in RNAcentral is "partial 16S ribosomal RNA". It matches the Rfam family "Bacterial small subunit ribosomal RNA", at positions 29 to 507 of the family's 1533-position model. The record is from RNAcentral.